UGAGGGGGAAGGUGGGGAGGGCACAAGGACAGGGAGGAAUGCUGCAGCCACCUGUGCCCAUGCCCGGGGGAGGGGCCGGCUCCUGGGACCCUCCCAGAAGGCUCUGGGGAGGCCAUGAAAGCGGGGAUGGAGGGGGGCCUUGAAACUGCCCAGGGGCUGAAUUGGUGAGCUCAUGGCAGAAAGGGCAGCUGGCUGGGCCGGAGCUGACCUCUUCGCCCCCCUCCUCGUCGCCCUUUUUGGGGUCUCGGAGCGCCUGGCUGGCGCCUGCCCCGGCAGAAUGUCUACAUUCCUUCCUGUUUGGGAAGAGGACGGGGGACCAACAGCGGGCCCCAAAAUAGCUGCUGUCCUGUUGCCCACGUGCCUGUGCAGACGGCUGUGCUGACUGGCUUCUGUCAGUGGGCACAGGUGGCCCUGCCGCGGACAGGCCCAGAAAAGGCUGGCGGCCUCCCCCAGUGCACACGUGACAGGGCAGAGCGGGCGCCGGGGGUCGGCACCAGGCCCAGGCGGGGCUGCCGUGGGUGACUGGUCCAAGGCAGUGCAGAAGGCAGGGGCAUGCCAGUCAGGGGGGACAAGGAGCAGGGGAGAGGGGCACCGGGGCAGGGAGCAGGGGGAGCUGCAUCCCCCGGCAGCCUCCUCCCGGCCCCGAGCCACCGAGGGUACCGGGUGGCCCCGUCAGCGGGAGGAGCCCCCAGCUUGCAGGAGCAUCCCCCCAAGGCCCACGCCAUCACGGUGCCACCCAGCGCCCCUUCCCCUCUGGCCCGAAGCCCGAGGCAUCACAGCCCGGCUGCCUGCCCCCUUCCCGGCCACCUCGGAGGCCUGUGCCCUUCUGGGGUCUCGCGGGGCUCCGCCNNCCCAGCUGUCCCGGUGCCCACAUUCCUGCCUCUCUGGGAAGAGGCUCCAAGACUCCGAGGAUGAAAAUAGCCCUGCCCUGAAGGGGCCUUGCACGGUGAGGUCCCCUGCUCCCUCUGCCCGGGCCGGGGAACUUGGGGAGUAGAAAGGACGUGCGUGGUGGGCGGGCGUCCCGUGCGCGCCAGGUUUCUCUCCCAGAGGCCCUGCCCGCGCGCACGCUUGCCUGCUAAAGUUUCGCACUUUCAACUGCUUCCCCCUUCCCGUGUUUGCUGUCCUUGGUCCGGCCCGGGCGGCCGGGGAGCCGGCUCCUCCGAAGACGCUUCCUGGAUGCCUGGCAGCGUUCUCCCGGGGCCCCGCUCCCAGCUCUGCGC
Molecule: long non-coding RNA, 1220 nt
Filed under: Oryctolagus cuniculus (rabbit)
Lineage: Eukaryota; Metazoa; Chordata; Mammalia; Lagomorpha; Leporidae
Description: lncRNA (ENSOCUG00000032631.1)
Source: RNAcentral